GUAUUAGACCGGAUCAAAGCUUCCUUCAUCCCUAUUCCGGAAAGGAACUUUGUGAAACAUCACCUGCGCAACAACCCAGACCUAUACGGGCCAUUCUGGAUAUGUGCCACGCUGGUGAUCACGGUCACUGUUGUCGGGAACCUAGCAACAUUUAUUCAGAUGUAUGACCGUCCCGGUUAUAACUACAGCCCUCAAUUCCACAAGGUAACGGUUGCAG
Pseudophryne corroboree (corroboree frog) is the source of this 217-nucleotide long non-coding RNA. RefSeq lists it as uncharacterized. The record is from RefSeq and is a predicted model, not a curated record. The transcript has 3 exons. Lineage: Eukaryota; Metazoa; Chordata; Amphibia; Anura; Myobatrachidae.